Molecule: ribosomal RNA, 384 nt
Filed under: uncultured bacterium
Lineage: Bacteria
Description: bacterial SSU rRNA
Rfam family: Bacterial small subunit ribosomal RNA
Source: RNAcentral
AUUGAACGCUGGCGGCAUGCCUUACACAUGCAAGUCGAACGGCAGCGGACCUUCGGGUGCCGGCGAGUGGCGAACGGGUGAGUAAUAUAUCGGAACGUACCUUUCAGUGGGGGAUAACGUAGCGAAAGUUACGCUAAUACCGCAUAUCCUGUGAGCAGGAAAGCAGGGGAUCGCAAGACCUUGCGCUGAUUGAGCGGCCGAUAUCAGAUUAGCUAGUUGGUGAGGUAAAGGCUCACCAAGGCGACGAUCUGUAGCGGGUCUGAGAGGAUGAUCCGCCACACUGGAACUGAGACACGGCCCAGACUCCUACGGGAGGCAGCAGUGGGGAAUUUUGGACAAUGGGCGCAAGCCUGAUCCAGCCAUGCCGCGUGAGUGAAGAAGGCC